CCCUUAGAUGUUCUGGGCCGCACGCGCGCUACACUGAUGCAUUCAACGAGUCUAAAACCUGGUCUGAUAGGGCUGGGUAAUCUUUUGAAAGUGCAUCGUGAUUGGGAUAGAUGAUUGCAAUUCUUCAUCUUCAACGAGGAAUUCCUAGUAAGCGUAAGUCAUCAGCUUGCGUUGAUUACGUCCCUGCCCUUUGUGCACACCGCCCGUCGCUACUACCGAUUGAAUGGCUUAGUGAGGCCUCCGGAUUGGCUUUGGGGAGCCGGCAACGGCACCUCAUGGCUGAGAAGUUGGUCAAACUUGGUCAUUUAGAGGACGUAAAAGUCGUAACA
Molecule: ribosomal RNA, 329 nt
Filed under: uncultured eukaryote
Lineage: Eukaryota
Description: partial 18S ribosomal RNA
Rfam family: Eukaryotic small subunit ribosomal RNA
Source: RNAcentral